This 497-nucleotide ribosomal RNA is filed under the name uncultured bacterium. RNAcentral's name for it is "partial 16S ribosomal RNA". It matches the Rfam family "Bacterial small subunit ribosomal RNA", at positions 28 to 507 of the family's 1533-position model. The record is from RNAcentral.
GAUGAACGCUGGCGGCGUGCCUAAUACAUGCAAGUCGAGCGAACAGAUAAGGAGCUUGCUCCUUUGACGUUAGCGGCGGACGGGUGAGUAACACGUGGGUAACCUACCUAUAAGACUGGGAUAACUUCGGGAAACCGGAGCUAAUACCGGAUAAUAUUUCGAACCGCAUGGUUCGAUAGUGAAAGAUGGUUUUGCUAUCACUUAUAGAUGGACCCGCGCCGUAUUAGCUAGUUGGUAAGGUAACGGCUUACCAAGGCAACGAUACGUAGCCGACCUGAGAGGGUGAUCGGCCACACUGGAACUGAGACACGGUCAAGACUCCGACGGGAGGCAGCAGUAGGGAAUCUUCCGCAACGGGAGAAAGCCUGACGGAGCAACGCCGCGUGAGUGAUGAAGGUCUUCGGAUCGUAAAACUCUGUUAUUAGGGAAGAACAUACGUGUAAGUAACUGUGCACGUCUUGACGGUACCUAAUCAGAAAGCCACGGCUAACUACGUG